Molecule: long non-coding RNA, 431 nt
Organism: Macrobrachium nipponense
Lineage: Eukaryota; Metazoa; Arthropoda; Malacostraca; Decapoda; Palaemonidae
Exons: 3
Source: RefSeq, a predicted model, not a curated record
CCGGACAAGGUCUCGACCCGGACAGUCUUGAUUAACCAAUGAAGGAUCGAGUCUAGGAUGACGUCAGAGCUAUGACGUAUGAGGGAAGGCGGUCCUAACUAGACGCCAUUUGCAAACCUACCCGCCAACGCUUCGCUUGUAAACAAGAUCCUUCGUGCCUCGCAGCCAUGCCUCGCAACUACCAGCCCAAGAACAUCCUAACCACGGACUGGACCAACUUGGAGAAGGCCUUUAAUCACCGAGUUGAGACAGGCUGUAGUAUCCGCACUGCUAGCAACCUUUUUGGAGUGAAACCUUCGACUCUUGGGGAUGCUUUCACUCGGUCCCUCAAGGAGAGUGAUGGGAGGACGUUCGUGCCAAAGCAGCAGAACGUCAAGAAGGUUUUCACCGAUGCGCAGGAACUCUUAAUCGAGGAAUACUCGAUAAAGAUU